Molecule: ribosomal RNA, 539 nt
Filed under: Fusarium sp. FL-2010c
Lineage: Eukaryota; Fungi; Ascomycota; Sordariomycetes; Hypocreales; Nectriaceae
Description: eukaryotic LSU rRNA
Rfam family: 5.8S ribosomal RNA (bases 157-310)
Source: RNAcentral
AUUACCGAGUUUACAACUCCCAAACCCCUGUGAACAUACCUUUAAUGUUGCCUCGGCGGAUCAGCCCGCGCCCCGUAAAACGGGACGGCCCGCCAGAGGACCCAAACUCUAAUGUUUCUUAUUGUAACUUCUGAGUAAAACAAACAAAUAAAUCAAAACUUUCAACAACGGAUCUCUUGGUUCUGGCAUCGAUGAAGAACGCAGCAAAAUGCGAUAAGUAAUGUGAAUUGCAGAAUUCAGUGAAUCAUCGAAUCUUUGAACGCACAUUGCGCCCGCUGGUAUUCCGGCGGGCAUGCCUGUUCGAGCGUCAUUUCAACCCUCAAGCCCCCGGGUUUGGUGUUGGGGAUCGGCUCUGCCCUUCUGGGCGGUGCCGCCCCCGAAAUACAUUGGCGGUCUCGCUGCAGCCUCCAUUGCGUAGUAGCUAACACCUCGCAACUGGAACGCGGCGCGGCCAUGCCGUAAAACCCCAACUUCUGAAUGUUGACCUCGGAUCAGGUAGGAAUACCCGCUGAACUUAAGCAUAUCAAUAAGCGGAGGAA